UUUUUACUCCAUUUCUUCUUCUUCUUCUUCUUCUUCUUCUUCUUCUUCUUCUUCUUCAGCGAUAACCAUGGCCGACUGAAACCCUUCCACCGAUGACCUUGAUCAGCUCCUCGACAGUGCUUUGGAUGAUUUCCAAACCUUCAACCUUAAUAAUUCCUCCGCUCAGAGGAGUGGGGAAGCAACUGUGGUGAAAAAGGAGGCACCUUCGCUUCUUUCUAGGGUUCAAGGAUUGGGGAUGGGUGGUGGGUUAUCCAAUUUGAAAAAUAAGAAAAAGGGAA
Arachis ipaensis is the source of this 278-nucleotide non-coding RNA. Lineage: Eukaryota; Viridiplantae; Streptophyta; Magnoliopsida; Fabales; Fabaceae. The record is from RefSeq and is a predicted model, not a curated record.